UUAAGCGACUAAGCGUACACGGUGGAUGCCCUGGCAGUCAGAGGCGAUGAAGGACGUGCUAAUCUGCGAUAAGCGUCGGUGAGGUGAUAUGAACCGUUAUAACCGGCGAUUUCCGAAUGGGGAAACCCAGUGUGAUUCGUCACACUAUCAUUAACUGAAUCCAUAGGUUAAUGAGGCGAACCGGGGGAACUGAAACAUCUAAGUACCCCGAGGAAAAGAAAUCAACCGAGAUUCCCCCAGUAGCGGCGAGCGAACGGGGAGGAGCCCAGAGCCUGAAUCAGUGUGUGUGUUAGUGGAAGCGUCUGGAAAGGCGCGCGAUACAGGGUGACAGCCCCGUACACAAAAAUGCACAUGCUGUGAGCUCGAUGAGUAGGGCGGGACACGUGGUAUCCUGUCUGAAUAUGGGGGGACCAUCCUCCAAGGCUAAAUACUCCUGACUGACCGAUAGUGAACCAGUACCGUGAGGGAAAGGCGAAAAGAACCCCGGCGAGGGGAGUGAAAAAGAACCUGAAACCGUGUACGUACAAGCAGUGGGAGCCUCUUAAUGGGGUGACUGCGUACCUUUUGUAUAAUGGGUCAGCGACUUAUAUUCUGUAGCAAGGUUAACCGAAUAGGGGAGCCGAAGGGAAACCGAGUCUUAACUGGGCGUUAAGUUGCAGGGUAUAGACCCGAAACCCGGUGAUCUAGCCAUGGGCAGGUUGAAGGUUGGGUAACACUAACUGGAGGACCGAACCGACUAAUGUUGAAAAAUUAGCGGAUGACUUGUGGCUGGGGGUGAAAGGCCAAUCAAACCGGGAGAUAGCUGGUUCUCCCCGAAAGCUAUUUAGGUAGCGCCUCGUGAAUUCAUCUCCGGGGGUAGAGCACUGUUUCGGCAAGGGGGUCAUCCCGACUUACCAACCCGAUGCAAACUGCGAAUACCGGAGAAUGUUAUCACGGGAGACACACGGCGGGUGCUAACGUCCGUCGUGAAGAGGGAAACAACCCAGACCGCCAGCUAAGGUCCCAAAGUCAUGGUUAAGUGGGAAACGAUGUGGGAAGGCCCAGACAGCCAGGAUGUUGGCUUAGAAGCAGCCAUCAUUUAAAGAAAGCGUAAUAGCUCACUGGUCGAGUCGGCCUGCGCGGAAGAUGUAACGGGGCUAAACCAUGCACCGAAGCUGCGGCAGCGACACUAUGUGUUGUUGGGUAGGGGAGCGUUCUGUAAGCCUGUGAAGGUGGCCUGUGAGGGUUGCUGGAGGUAUCAGAAGUGCGAAUGCUGACAUAAGUAACGAUAAAGCGGGUGAAAAGCCCGCUCGCCGGAAGACCAAGGGUUCCUGUCCAACGUUAAUCGGGGCAGGGUGAGUCGACCCCUAAGGCGAGGCCGAAAGGCGUAGUCGAUGGGAAACAGGUUAAUAUUCCUGUACUUGGUGUUACUGCGAAGGGGGGACGGAGAAGGCUAUGUUGGCCGGGCGACGGUUGUCCCGGUUUAAGCGUGUAGGCUGGUUUUCCAGGCAAAUCCGGAAAACCAAGGCUGAGGCGUGAUGACGAGGCACUACGGUGCUGAAGUGACAAAUGCCCUGCUUCCAGGAAAAGCCUCUAAGCAUCAGGUAACAUCAAAUCGUACCCCAAACCGACACAGGUGGUCAGGUAGAGAAUACCAAGGCGCUUGAGAGAACUCGGGUGAAGGAACUAGGCAAAAUGGUGCCGUAACUUCGGGAGAAGGCACGCUGAUAUGUAGGUGAAGCGACUUGCUCGUGGAGCUGAAAUCAGUCGAAGAUACCAGCUGGCUGCAACUGUUUAUUAAAAACACAGCACUGUGCAAACACGAAAGUGGACGUAUACGGUGUGACGCCUGCCCGGUGCCGGAAGGUUAAUUGAUGGGGUUAGCGGUAACGCGAAGCUCUUGAUCGAAGCCCCGGUAAACGGCGGCCGUAACUAUAACGGUCCUAAGGUAGCGAAAUUCCUUGUCGGGUAAGUUCCGACCUGCACGAAUGGCGUAAUGAUGGCCAGGCUGUCUCCACCCGAGACUCAGUGAAAUUGAACUCGCUGUGAAGAUGCAGUGUACCCGCGGCAAGACGGAAAGACCCCGUGAACCUUUACUAUAGCUUGACACUGAACAUUGAGCCUUGAUGUGUAGGAUAGGUGGGAGGCUUUGAAGUGUGGACGCCAGUCUGCAUGGAGCCGACCUUGAAAUACCACCCUUUAAUGUUUGAUGUUCUAACGUUGGCCCCUAAUCGGGGUUGCGGACAGUGUCUGGUGGGUAGUUUGACUGGGGCGGUCUCCUCCUAAAGAGUAACGGAGGAGCACGAAGGUUGGCUAAUCCUGGUCGGACAUCAGGAGGUUAGUGCAAUGGCAUAAGCCAGCUUGACUGCGAGCGUGACGGCGCGAGCAGGUGCGAAAGCAGGUCAUAGUGAUCCGGUGGUUCUGAAUGGAAGGGCCAUCGCUCAACGGAUAAAAGGUACUCCGGGGAUAACAGGCUGAUACCGCCCAAGAGUUCAUAUCGACGGCGGUGUUUGGCACCUCGAUGUCGGCUCAUCACAUCCUGGGGCUGAAGUAGGUCCCAAGGGUAUGGCUGUUCGCCAUUUAAAGUGGUACGCGAGCUGGGUUUAGAACGUCGUGAGACAGUUCGGUCCCUAUCUGCCGUGGGCGCUGGAGAACUGAGGGGGGCUGCUCCUAGUACGAGAGGACCGGAGUGGACGCAUCACUGGUGUUCGGGUUGUCAUGCCAAUGGCACUGCCCGGUAGCUAAAUGCGGAAGAGAUAAGUGCUGAAAGCAUCUAAGCACGAAACUUGCCCCGAGAUGAGUUCUCCCUGAGACUUAGAGUCUCCUGAAGGAACGUUGAAGACGACGACGUUGAUAGGCCGGGUGUGUAAGCGCAGCGAUGCGUUGAGCUAACCGGUACUAAUGAACCGUGAGGCUUAACCUU
This 2902-nucleotide ribosomal RNA is filed under the name Escherichia coli. RNAcentral describes it as "bacterial LSU rRNA". It matches the Rfam family "Bacterial large subunit ribosomal RNA". The record is from RNAcentral. RNAcentral also lists the same sequence under 5 other names. Lineage: Bacteria; Pseudomonadati; Pseudomonadota; Gammaproteobacteria; Enterobacterales; Enterobacteriaceae.